UACGGAGGGUGCGAGCGUUGUCCGGAAUCACUGGGCGUAAAGGGCGCGUAGGCUGUGCUGUAAGUCAGGCGUGAAAGGCCCGGGCUCAACCUGGGAACUGCGUUUGAUACUGCGGCGCUGGAAUGCAGGAGAGGAUGGCGGAAUUCCCAGUGUAGAGGUGAAAUUCGUAGAUAUUGGGAAGAACACCGGUGGCGAAGGCGGCCAUCUGGCCUGCAAUUGACGCUGAGGCGCGAAAGCGUGGGGAGCAAACAGG
This 253-nucleotide ribosomal RNA is filed under the name uncultured prokaryote. Its description in RNAcentral is "partial 16S ribosomal RNA". It matches the Rfam family "Bacterial small subunit ribosomal RNA", at positions 524 to 776 of the family's 1533-position model. The record is from RNAcentral.